This 162-nucleotide ribosomal RNA is filed under the name Triticum aestivum (bread wheat). RNAcentral's name for it is "partial small subunit ribosomal RNA". Lineage: Eukaryota; Viridiplantae; Streptophyta; Magnoliopsida; Poales; Poaceae. The record is from RNAcentral.
AUGACCACAAUUGUACUACCUGAUGACCUGGUGGUGCAGAUCUUCUCUCGGCUGCCGCUGAAGUCCUUUUGCCGUUUCAGAUGUGUCUCCAAAUCUUGGCUUGCCUUUUCAUCUGAUCCGCACUACCGCCAGAAGCUCCCAAGAACUCCUGUCGGUCUCUGA